GGUUGUGUGGCUCAGUGGUUAUGCUGCACUCUUACAUUAUGUCCCGGUGGUCGCCGGUUCGACUCCCGCAGGAGUCA
Mycena galericulata is the source of this 77-nucleotide non-coding RNA. NCBI's taxonomy places the organism in Eukaryota, Fungi, Basidiomycota, Agaricomycetes, Agaricales, Mycenaceae. The record is from the annotation of a GenBank genome assembly.